RNAcentral lists this ribosomal RNA (440 nucleotides) under uncultured bacterium. Its description in RNAcentral is "partial 16S ribosomal RNA". It matches the Rfam family "Bacterial small subunit ribosomal RNA", at positions 338 to 795 of the family's 1533-position model. The record is from RNAcentral.
CCUACGGGAGGCAGCAGUAGGGAAUAUUGCUCAAUGGGGGAAACCCUGAAGCAGCAACGCCGCGUGGAGGAUGAAGGUUUUCGGAUUGUAAACUCCUUUUGUUAGAGAAGAUAAUGACGGUAUCUAACGAAUAAGCACCGGCUAACUCCGUGCCAGCAGCCGCGGUCAUACGGAGGGUGCAAGCGUUACUCGGAAUCACUGGGCGUAAAGAGCGCGUAGGCGGGAUAGCAAGCCAGAUGUGAAAUCCUAUGGCUUAACCAUAGAACUGCAUUUGAAACUGUUAUUCUAGAGUAUGGGAGAGGUAGGUAGAAUUCUUGGUGUAGGGGUAAAAUCCGUAGAGAUCAAGAGGAAUACUCAUUGCGAAGGCGACCUGCUAGAACAUAACUGACGCUGAUGCGCGAAAGCGUGGGGAGCAAACAGGAUUAGAUACCCCUGUAGUC